This 306-nucleotide long non-coding RNA is filed under the name Androctonus crassicauda. The record is from RNAcentral. Lineage: Eukaryota; Metazoa; Arthropoda; Arachnida; Scorpiones; Buthidae.
GUUGAUAUAAAUUGUGCGUUCAUAUGCCCUGUACGCUAGUGCAGUCGUCAUCCUAGCCGCGGCUAUGUCGGCUUUAUGUUCUUUUAUCCUCCUCUCAAGGCUCCUGCACGUGCUUCCUAUGUAAAACUGCCGCGUAUUCUGUUCUACGUCAUAAAAGGGUAUGGCAUAUACCCCGGGCCUCUUGUGUCUUGGGACUGCGCUCUUGUCGUUUCGGAGGAUGUUGAAUGUGGUUGCUCCUCGUUGUGGGGCCGUCCUGUAGUUCCCAUGCUUAGUGUAUUUGCGUAGUAUUCUGUCCGUGUUGGAGUG